Pogona vitticeps (central bearded dragon) is the source of this 670-nucleotide non-coding RNA. The record is from RefSeq and is a predicted model, not a curated record. NCBI's taxonomy places the organism in Eukaryota, Metazoa, Chordata, Lepidosauria, Squamata, Agamidae.
AUGCACAUUUUUGUUCUUUUUUUUCCUCCAGUGCAUCUGCCUUACAAAAUUCAAAAUAAUAGGAAAACUGAAAUACAUCUGCGUUCUUGUUUACGUAUUGAUUUGCAGUUUUAACAAAUUGUUUUUGAAAUGCAAGCAUAACUAAAUUCUUUGGUAUCUCUUUUGUUGUUAUGUGCUGCCAAGCCACUGUUUCUCUACCAAUGAAAAAACUGGAAAAGGCUGCAGAAAAGCCACCAUGACCACCCACAAGGUGCCCGCAACCUGUGACCCAACAACUCCUUUGACCCUAUAAAUGGCGGGAGGUUUAGGUCUUCACUCCAUCCUGCCAUCUCCUGAGAGACCAUCCAGGCAGCCGACUCUCCAUCGUGUCAUCUCCUGAGAAUCUGCCUCAUCUUUCAGCCAUGAAGGUCUUGGGCUUUCUUUUCGCUGUUCUCUUCUUGGUGCUGAUGGCUACGCCAGCACUUGCUGCACCAAAGACUGCUGCGGAAUGUGACAGAGCGGGCGGCAAAUGCCGGUUCCUGCGUUGCCCAACAAAUCUGACCGCCAUUGGGAAGUGCGAUAAAAAAGGCGGCGUUUGCUGCAAAAAACCAGACACAUAUAAUUCUUACAGAGGCCUGGCAUCUUGAAACAGCAGGACUUACAGGUAAAUCCAGUGAAGAUUUGAGAAGGU